AUUGAACGCUGGCGGCAGGCCUAACACAUGCAAGUCGAGCGGAUGAGAGGAGCUUGCUCCUUGAUUUAGCGGCGGACGGGUGAGUAAUGCCUAGGAAUCUGCCUGGUAGUGGGGGAUAACGUCCGGAAACGGGCGCUAAUACCGCAUACGUCCUACGGGAGAAAGCAGGGGACCUUCGGGCCUUGCGCUAUCAGAUGAGCCUAGGUCGGAUUAGCUAGUUGGUGAGGUAAUGGCUCACCAAGGCGACGAUCCGUAACUGGUCUGAGAGGAUGAUCAGUCACACUGGAACUGAGACACGGUCCAGACUCCUACGGGAGGCAGCAGUGGGGAAUAUUGGACAAUGGGCGAAAGCCUGAUCCAGCCAUGCCGCGUGUGUGAAGAAGGUCUUCGGAUUGUAAAGCACUUUAAGUUGGGAGGAAGGGCAGUAAGUUAAUACCUUGCUGUUUUGACGUUACCGACAGAAUAAGCACCGGCUAACUUCGUGCCAGCCGCCGCGGUAA
Molecule: ribosomal RNA, 500 nt
Filed under: uncultured bacterium
Lineage: Bacteria
Description: partial 16S ribosomal RNA
Rfam family: Bacterial small subunit ribosomal RNA
Source: RNAcentral